ACUUUAAAAAUGUUUGAUUUUGACCAUCUGACCCAAUUUUAUUUAAAAAAGUAAAUAAUCUUUAAUAUUUCAAUUUUCUCCUAAGUCCCUCCCCUGCCCUGUAGAGCUCAGCCAAUAUUUCUGCAAGCCUAACGCGUUGACCAAUAGCGCUGCGUUUCCACCAGGGGGCAGCUGUCAAUCAUCGAGCACGAGCAUUCGAUCUCAGCGUGCACAACAGUGUCACGCGCCUCACUCGGCUUACUGCAGAAACAUGGAGCAACAAAACCCCAAAUUACCGAUUCCUCGACUGCCUUCCACAUCUCAGAAAACAUUUAAAAAGUUUAAAAGCCCUUCUUCAAAAGUGGCUGUAAGACGUUCGAGACAGUCGAGUAGAAUUUACAUUGGAGAUUGUUUUACACACGAUGGAGAGAUUUUCGUGAUCUACACGGCCUGAAAACGGAUGAAGAGUUGGCAAAGUAUCUUUUAGACAGUCAUCAGUCCAAAUAUGAAGCAUCAACAUCUACACCAUUGAAGCGCCAACUGUGUAUUUCUCCAACACCAGUGCCAGCUCUGUCUAGCAUUCAUGGAGAGUCAUCUGAAAGGUAAAUAGCUGCGUAAAAACCUCUACCAGGAAUAUUAUAAUUUUGCCUCUGUUUGUUUUAAGUUAGUGGUGGAUUAUUUUGAAAAAAUUCUAGAAAUGGGAUAAUGAAUGACUAUAAAAAAUGUAUAGAAAUAAAUAGUAGAACUACAUUUUAUAUAGCGCCUCUCAAGAUAAAACUCUUGAGACACUUCACAACAACAAAAUUCAACAUAUUUUAAAAAAUUAUAUUUUUAUUUCAAAGUUUAUGAGAAAAAAAUAACACAAUUGUGUUUUUAAAAUGUAAAGAGAGAGACAGGAAAUUAUUUGUAAAGAAGGAAUUCAGUGGAUACAGAGAAAUGCGUAAUAAGUAGAGUGAGAAAAAUAAGGAGAGGGUGAUGAUGACGGCCAAUAGACGAGGUCUAUUACCUUCAAAAUGACAAAAUAUGUAUUGAUUCUAAUCAUAUUCUUGUGCUUGUAUUUUAUUUUCAUAGGGAUGAUAAUUUGGAGGAGGUGAUGGAACAAGGUGAAACUAAAAAAAGAAGGAUCUUCACAAAUGUUAUCUUGUGUGGGAAUUGAAGCAAACAUUGACGAGGAAGAGUUCAACAAUAUUCAAAACUCUGUGAUAGAGUCAUCAGAUGACACAUGGUCACCAAACAGAGAACCAGAAGUUGAUUCGUCUUUAGAGGAGGACGAAACCAUCGAGAUGGACAGCGGUACUGAUGACCGCGGUGAUGAGGACUACACACCUUAUAUACACAUAAGGACUGGAGCAGCAUUACAAUAAACAUUACAACUUGAGACUCUGCAAGAAAUUAACAUAGAGGAUACAGUUCAUGACUGUAAUAUCCCAGAAGCAACGGACCGACGUUUGACAAGCAAGAAAGGUCUUCCUCGACGCUACAAGCUAAGGCCUGAGGAUCCAAGGCGUUACGGUUUGCUGUCCGGAGUUCCUGCACCAUCAACAGAGGAACUUCUACAACACCUACGGACUUGCGGUGAUGGUAAAACUUUGCCACAGACGUAGGUGUUGGGGGAGGCAAGAGAAAACCCAAAACCUUCUUUAUUUUUGUUUCCUGUGUUUUUUUUGUUUUUUUUUGAAAAUAAAGAUAUAUUUUGGGGAAAUAAGGACUAAUAAUUUAAAAAUUUAUGUAAAAUGUUGGAGGUAGACAUAAUUUUUUUUUUUG
Non-coding RNA from Nothobranchius furzeri (turquoise killifish), 1743 nucleotides. NCBI's taxonomy places the organism in Eukaryota, Metazoa, Chordata, Actinopteri, Cyprinodontiformes, Nothobranchiidae. The record is from RefSeq and is a predicted model, not a curated record.